Long non-coding RNA from Ipomoea triloba (trilobed morning glory), 702 nucleotides. RefSeq lists it as uncharacterized. The record is from RefSeq and is a predicted model, not a curated record. Lineage: Eukaryota; Viridiplantae; Streptophyta; Magnoliopsida; Solanales; Convolvulaceae. The transcript has 3 exons.
UAACAGUGCACUGUGAACAUUAAGGGUAAUGUUUCCUGCUUUGCGAUUGAGAAUGCAUGGAGUUGAUAGGGAUUGGAGCAGCUGAGCUAUACAACAAGCAUAAUCAUACAAAUCAGCCUCCAAAGGAGAUAAAGGACUUAGCGGGGAGAAGUAUGUUAUUCAAGAUCUCAGCAAAGAAGGAACAGUUUGUGAACCUUCAUAAUGCAUUUCAUGUGUGCUAAGAAUUAACAAUGACCAAUAGGUGGUGGCACAACAUUGCCCUGAACUUCUAAAUACUCAGGAUAAGGACUUGAACUCUGACUUGCAUCUAAGUGAGGGAGAUGAUGACUUUCUUGAGGGGUUUUUAAGUGAUGAAGCUGACAACCCAAUAGCAAAUCUGGCAGCAACCAAUACUGAAAAUGUAACUGAUGGAGCUGUGAAGAGGUGAUUGCUUGAUGUAUUCUCUUCAACCCAAGGUUCCAAAAAUGUGAAAGAGACUUCAGUGAAACUAGAGAAACUAGAUUACUCGUGUGGUGAUGACAUUUUGAAGGGACACUUAAUGACCUAACUGGCCAGAACUAUGGACUUUCAUGGCUGGACAGUUUACAGUAAACAUUGCUUUGUGGAUGUGUUGGAUUGCAAAAACGAUGCAUGUGACACAAGGAUGGUUUUAUGCUCAAAUUAUGAAUUUACUUGAUCAUCUCUAAGACUUAUAUAAUGCUG